Molecule: ribosomal RNA, 918 nt
Filed under: Triticum aestivum (bread wheat)
Lineage: Eukaryota; Viridiplantae; Streptophyta; Magnoliopsida; Poales; Poaceae
Description: partial small subunit ribosomal RNA
Source: RNAcentral
AUGGUGUAUAGCAAAAUCCCAAUAGACACACACAAGCUGAAGCCAGUGGAAGACUGCAAGCACUGCUAUGCAAAGAAGUUUGAGCGUGAGACCAUGUGGUUUUGCUGCCGUAAGGGGAAGAUCAAACUAGCCAACCCGGAUACGCCUCCUGAGCUCAUGAAGCUAUGGACGAGUGACGACCCUGCUGCUAGGCAUUUUCGUGACAACAUCAGGUUUUUCAAUAGCCAUUUCUCAUUCACCUCACUAUGUUGUCACCUUGAUAGUGAUACCACUAACACAUUAAAGCAUCCUAUCUACACAUUCCGUGCCCAUGGCCAAAUGUACCACAACAUACAGUCAUUUGGCAAACAAGAUGGUUUGGAUCGUAGUCAUCUGGAGCUCUACUUCUAUGAUGAUGAUCCCAGUUUAGAGCAUAGGUAUCGUAGUUGUCGCAAAGAGUAGUGCCAGAAAGACAAAGAAGUAAUCACACAACUGGUCGACAUACUUCGUGGCAACCCAUACUCUGAACACCUCCGUAGUAUGGGGCAUGUUGAUGAUGUGGAUGACUAUCACAUAACACUAAACCUUGACCGAAGGAUGGAUCAGAGAAGAUAUAAUGCGCCGACCACUUCAGAAGUAGCAGCUGUGUGGGUGGAGCGCAGUGAACGUCGAAGACAGUUCGGUAAUAGUGUCAUCCUGCAUGGGAAGAAUAGAGAUAUAUAUGGAAUCAAGUCCUAUCAUGGAUGCUAUGAUGCGUUGUCGUACCGUCUAUUCUUCCCUAGAGGCGAACUUGGGUGGCAUACUGAUAUCCCGAAGGAAGGUGUGUCCUAUGAGACUAUGAUGGCAGCUCAUGCAGCCCGUCUAGCUCGUGGUCAUAGUGAUGAGUCCUCUAAUCCUGGUGAUAAAGAUGAUGAGGACGAGGAUGAUAAUGCAGGUUAG